Neofelis nebulosa (Clouded leopard) is the source of this 1583-nucleotide long non-coding RNA. RefSeq lists it as uncharacterized. The record is from RefSeq and is a predicted model, not a curated record. The transcript is spliced from 2 exons. Lineage: Eukaryota; Metazoa; Chordata; Mammalia; Carnivora; Felidae.
UUAUUUGGCUCUGUGUCCUUCAAGAACACAAAGGUGAUGUCUUCGGUUGUGCUGCAUCAUAAGCUGGCCUAGUGAGCUUAAGGGGAGCCCCGUGUACUCUCCCCAAGAUGAUGUUGCACCCAGCCUUGCAAAACACUGGAAAGAAACGAUGGCUUCCUCAGGGUCUCCUCAGCCUUGGAGGCAGAGAGGCCAGGGUGUGGCAGACAAUUCCAGACCCAUCACUUCCCAGCGGGGUGAUACUGGGGAGGUUCCGUCUCCUCAUCUGUUGAACGAGCACGAUUCUGUGCGUGUCACCAGGUAGCAGUGGGAGCUAAAGGAGCCCCGCUGUUGGUAAGCAGGAGUCUUUCUAGCUAUUUCCACCAGAAAUGGCAGCGGAGCAGGGCAGAAGGAGCACCCAUCUCCAGGUCAGGGCCGAAGGGGAAGGAGUCUUUACAUACAGGAAUGCUACCGGUCUCUGUCACACCCUCAACCUCCAGCUUUGCUCGAAGGUCCGAUUACCAGCUUGUCUCCAACGUAUGACCACCCCCCCACCCCAAGCCCAGCCCAGUCCAGAGCAGCCCCAUGGUGGCUCCGCUCCCAGGCCCGCCCCGUGGGCUGCUGGGGGUCACAAGCAGAGGCAGGGGACAUCUCAGUACACGGUCUAUGGACACGUCUCUCCCCGUCUGUCAUCACUCUUUCGACCCCCAAAGAAUGCCUGAACACUUGGCUUCUCCAGCCUCUUUUGGAGGAAAGAAAUGUCUCAGGUUCCUUUAACUUUGGGCCACGCUGUCUCCCUUCUACCCCAGCUCAUCCAGUGCACAGGAGGAAUGGCCGCCCUGUGGAAGGAGGAUUCUAUCACUGACAGAGUUCAGAAUCACCGGUGCAUGGCAAUUAGAGAUUUCAAAAGCGGCAAGCUCUCGAGAGAGUGCACCCCUCAUGGCACACCCACCCCCGCACCCCUCAUCUCCUGGGUGCCCCCCCUCUUUCUGCUCCUGAUGCUCAUCACAAAGAGCGAUAUGCACUCCUGCUCACAUCUCUGCUACAGGAGCUGUCGGGAGAGAAGCUUGUGAGAACUCAAGAAAAGGGUGCUCUCCUUCUCCCUGGAAGUUAUUUUUGGGCCCAUGGGGCAAGCAAAGAAAUGACUCCUCUGCAGAGAUCAUCACAGACAUAUGAGAAGGGUCCUGGGGGCCUCCUUUUUCUUCUUGUUUUUUUUUUCCUUUGUUUGCAGCUCACCACAUUUAAUGAGGAAGUACUGACCAUAAGGAGAGGAAACUUUCACCCCAACCACUCCCAGGACCCGCGUCCCCAUCAGCAGUGAGAUGAGGAAACUGAGGCCAAUGAAGUGAAGAGAUUCCCCAGGUGACACGGGGAGUGAUAGAGCCAAGACGUUAACCUGUCCGAAGCCAAGGUCACCGGUUAGUCAGUCACACAGCUCCUCCAGGGUGCCAUGGGCUACCCCGUUUAUAAUGCCUUUCAGCUAAGGAUGCCCAAAAUACCUCAUCAAUGGAGAAUGAUCACCUUCUUGAAAACUUGGAAACGAAUCCUUCUAAAGCAAAUGAGUUUCCACACCUGGGGUUAAUGAUAAAGCUGGAAAAAUGCAAAGA